RNAcentral lists this ribosomal RNA (536 nucleotides) under Enterobacter sp. RNAcentral's name for it is "bacterial SSU rRNA". It matches the Rfam family "Bacterial small subunit ribosomal RNA", at positions 94 to 626 of the family's 1533-position model. The record is from RNAcentral. Lineage: Bacteria; Pseudomonadati; Pseudomonadota; Gammaproteobacteria; Enterobacterales; Enterobacteriaceae.
AGUGGCGGACGGGUGAGUAAUGUCUGGGAAACUGCCUGAUGGAGGGGGAUAACUACUGGAAACGGUAGCUAAUACCGCAUAACGUCGCAAGACCAAAGAGGGGGACCUUCGGGCCUCUUGCCAUCGGAUGUGCCCAGAUGGGAUUAGCUAGUAGGUGGGGUAACGGCUCACCUAGGCGACGAUCCCUAGCUGGUCUGAGAGGAUGACCAGCCACACUGGAACUGAGACACGGUCCAGACUCCUACGGGAGGCAGCAGUGGGGAAUAUUGCACAAUGGGCGCAAGCCUGAUGCAGCCAUGCCGCGUGUAUGAAGAAGGCCUUCGGGUUGUAAAGUACUUUCAGCGGGGAGGAAGGCGAUAAGGUUAAUAACCUUGUCGAUUGACGUUACCCGCAGAAGAAGCACCGGCUAACUCCGUGCCAGCAGCCGCGGUAAUACGGAGGGUGCAAGCGUUAAUCGGAAUUACUGGGCGUAAAGCGCACGCAGGCGGUCUGUCAAGUCGGAUGUGAAAUCCCCGGGCUCAACCUGGGAACUGCAU